CUAUCCCACGGGACGCAGCAGUAGGGAAUCUUCGGCAAUGGGGGCAACCCUGACCGAGCAACGCCGCGUGAGUGAAGAAGGUUUUCGGAUCGUAAAGCUCUGUUGUAAGAGAAGAACGUGUGUGAGAGUGGAAAGUUCACACAGUGACGGUAACUUACCAGAAAGGGACGGCUAACUACGUGCCAGCAGCCGCGGUAAUACGUAGGUCCCGAGCGUUGUCCGGAUUUAUUGGGCGUAAAGCGAGCGCAGGCGGUUUAAUAAGUCUG
RNAcentral lists this ribosomal RNA (266 nucleotides) under uncultured bacterium. RNAcentral's name for it is "partial 16S ribosomal RNA". It matches the Rfam family "Bacterial small subunit ribosomal RNA", at positions 334 to 591 of the family's 1533-position model. The record is from RNAcentral.